CCUACGGGAGGCAGCAGUUGGGCGCAAGCCUGAUCCAGCCAUGCCGCGUGUGUGAAGAAGGCCUUAUGGUUGUAAAGCACUUUAAGCGAGGAGGAGGCUACUCUAGUUAAUACCUAGGGAUAGUGGACGUUACUCGCAGAAUAAGCACCGGCUAACUCUGUGCCAGCAGCCGCGGUAAUA
RNAcentral lists this ribosomal RNA (180 nucleotides) under uncultured bacterium. RNAcentral's name for it is "partial 16S ribosomal RNA". It matches the Rfam family "Bacterial small subunit ribosomal RNA", at positions 338 to 525 of the family's 1533-position model. The record is from RNAcentral.